Lathyrus oleraceus (garden pea) is the source of this 1301-nucleotide long non-coding RNA. RefSeq lists it as uncharacterized. The transcript has 2 exons. Lineage: Eukaryota; Viridiplantae; Streptophyta; Magnoliopsida; Fabales; Fabaceae. The record is from RefSeq and is a predicted model, not a curated record.
UGCCUUUUUCUUCUCUUUUUGGUGGAUAGUCAAUUAGAGAGCUAGCUAGCAAUGAAAACCACUUGAAAUUUUCUAAGUAGUUGGAACAAUAUGAAUCCAUCUUCAUCAACUCAUAUAUAUCCAUAUAUAGAGUCGAAUAAGUGAAUAUUAUUGAUAUUAAUUUGAUAUCAUAUAUCUAUCUACUUUUGUUCAAUGCUUGCUAUACAGUUAGCUUAAUAUUGAUGAUGGUGUUUGAGAUUUGGGAAGCAAAAAAGCGAUGUUGGUGAGGUUCAAUCUGAAGACGGAUUUACGUGCAGAAAUAUGUAAAAUACGAUCUCAGAUUGAGCCGCGCCAAUAUCACUUUUAUUAUCGAUUGUUUUCCAGCUCAUCACAACUCAUCAUAUUCUCUUGUGAGAAUAUUCUCAAUUUAUUGAUUGAUAGAUCUUAUCAUGACUAACAUUAUUUCUUUCUUGUUUUCAAUCUUGAAGACAAACUAGCAAACCCUUGGAAGAAAAAGUGCAAUAAAAGUGAGUAUAUGGCACUUUCAUUCUCAUGGUACACACACAGGAAGAUCAUGAUGUGAAGGUGUUCAUUCAAUUGAGAAUUGAAACUUCAACUGGACGAGCUUUCAAAUUGGUGUUGAUAAAUUUAAGGUGGAGAUCAAAUAUAUCAUUUUGAAGAGAUGUUGCACUUAAUUGAGUUACUAAUUAUAUGUUACUAACUAUAUGUUACUAAUUAUAUGUGUUAUUUAUCUUCUUUAUUUGUUAACCGCACUUCUCAGAUCAUAUUGUCUCGAAUAUUGUUUCGAUAUUGUGUGUGACAUCUUGUAGUUCACUGAAGAGAAUUUUAAUUGACAUUCGGGUAGGCACUCUGUUAUAGUUGGAGGAACUCUAGGAUUUUUAAUAUUUUAUGUUCAAGAUAGACAAUAACAGAGAAGGAGGAUUUGUUAAUCGUCCAUCAAUUUUUGAUGGUACUAAUUUGGACUAUUGAUUGGCUCGCAUCGUACUUUUCUUAAGUCUAUGAACAACAAACCCUUGAAAUAAGUCAUCAAUAGAUGGAGUCUACCAAAGAUAAUAGUUGAAGACAACUCUAAAUCGGUGAAGUCCCGAAAAUAUUGGACACCUGCUAAAGAUGAAGCUAUUCUUGGAAACUCUUGUGCUCUUAAACUAUUUAUAAUGGAGUCAGAAAAAAUAUCUUCAAAAUCAUUAAUACAUGCACUAGUUCUAAGAAGGCUUGAGAAACUCUUUAAGUUUCUCAUGAAGGUACAUUUAAAGUUUGUAUGUCAAGAAUUAAACUCGUUGCCACAAAAUUUGAAAACUUAA